RNAcentral lists this ribosomal RNA (500 nucleotides) under uncultured bacterium. Its description in RNAcentral is "partial 16S ribosomal RNA". It matches the Rfam family "Bacterial small subunit ribosomal RNA", at positions 30 to 523 of the family's 1533-position model. The record is from RNAcentral.
AUUGAACGCUGGCGGCAUGCCUUACACAUGCAAGUCGAACGGCAGCACGGGAGCAAUCCUGGUGGCGAGUGGCGAACGGGUGAGUAAAGUAUCGGAACGUGCCCAGUCGUGGGGGAUAACGUAGCGAAAGUUACGCUAAUACCGCAUACGAUCUAUGGAUGAAAGCGGGGAAUCGCAAGACCUCGCGCGAUUGGAGCGGCCGAUAUCAGAUUAGGUAGUUGGGGGGGUAAAGGCUCACCAAGCCGACGAUCUGUAUCUGGUCUGAGAGGACGACCAGCCACACUGGGACUGAGACACGGCCCAGACUCCUACGGGAGGCAGCAGUGGGGAAUUUUGGACAAUGGGCGAAAGCCUGAUCCAGCCAUGCCGCGUGCAGGAUGAAGGCCUUCGGGUUGUAAACUGCUUUUGUACGGAACGAAAAGGUUUGGCCUAAUAAGCUGAGCUCAUGACGGUACCGUAAGAAUAAGCACCGGCUAACUACGUGCCAGCCGCCGCCGUAA